RNAcentral lists this ribosomal RNA (2049 nucleotides) under Triticum aestivum (bread wheat). Its description in RNAcentral is "partial small subunit ribosomal RNA". Lineage: Eukaryota; Viridiplantae; Streptophyta; Magnoliopsida; Poales; Poaceae. The record is from RNAcentral.
AUGGAAUCUUCAAUUGGUGACUGUAGAAAUACUGGACAUGUUGAGGCAGAAAAUGUUGCUAAUCCAGGUAUGUUGCUGGAAGGAGCAGAUUCUCUUGUUAGGGGAUUUAAUGCAAACACCGAUGACACUGUUGAUACAGAUCAAGUCCACUUGGAGUCACCAGUUAGUCCAGCUACCUUACCAGUGUCUACUGAAUUUGAAACUCAGACUUGCCAAUCAAGUAUGCAUGUGGAACAAAGUCCUGAAGCGCAACAGUCAACCUCAAUGAAAGAUCAACCUGCAGAAAAACGAGCAUGUAUUGUGGGUCCUGAGGCAGCAAUGCAGGAUCAGUCAGCAGAGGCUGAGCGAGCAGGAGUAGAGUUAUCUGGCACUGUGACACCUCAUGCUAUACAACCACCAGCCUCAAUGCCUGUGGAACAGAGUACCAGUCUGCCUGCCCAACAAAGCUUAGCAACAUUGCGUCAUCCACCAGCAGAAGCAGAACCAGCAGGUAUUCUGGCCACAGAGGUAGCUUGCGAUUUGCAGCCUGAAGCCCGACUGUCAACCUCAAUGCAGGAUCAACCUGCAGAAGAAGGAGCAUGUAUCUUGGGCGCCACUGCUGCUCGAGGUUCGCAGCCUGAAGUGCAACCAUCAACCUCAUUGGAUUCACAUGGCAGAGGAGAAUCAACAGAUACGUUGGGUGUGGUGACAGCUCCUGAUAUGCAAUCAGAAAUACAACCAUCAGCCUUGAUGCAGGAUCAACCUGUGGCAGCAGAAGGAGCAUGUGUUCUAGGCACGACAGUAGCCCAGGAUUUGCAGCCUGAACUGCAAACAGCAACCACAGUUCAGCAUGACCCACUUGAAAGAACACGCUCUGAAGAAAGGAGACAAGCUGGUUUUGAACCAAACACAGCAGCCAGUCCUGAGCAUGAUCUGCAGUCUGAAAUACAGCCAUCAGCCUUAAUGCGUGAUCGACCUGCAGGAGCAGAAGGAGCAGGGAGAUUGAUGAACCCUGUAAUGGAGCAGCUACCCGAGUCUUCUUCAGCGGCUCGGAUCGCAGCAUCGCCGUCGGUUAUCCCAUCACCAUCCCCCGGAGUGGCAGCGCACAGUUCAGCAGAACCCUCCGUCCGCCCUCCGCCGGUGGCUCUACCAUCCUCAUCACGGACCGUCCAGUCACAGUCAGCCAUGCCUGGCAAUCUCUCUGGAGCAAUAUCAUCGUCAGCCAUGCCUGGCAAUCUCUCUGGAGCAACAUCAUCGUCAGCCAUGCCUGGCAAUCUCUCUGGAGCAAUAUCACCGCCUUUUGUUCCAGCGCCUUCGCUACAUGCAAGCCACGGACCCGCCGGACCACAGCUGCGCCCUGUCCAGCCACAAUCAGUUCCACCCAGCAUUCUCUACAGAACAAUGCCACCUGCUAUUCCGACACCUCGGCCACAGGGCAGCUACGGGCCCGCUGGAGCAGCAGCACAGCAGCUGCGUGCGCCCUCUCCUCAUCUGCAGCACCUCAGGAUGCGCCCGCCAUAUGUCAUCCCCACAGACCACCACCAGCAGCAGCAGCUUCCUACCAUCAUAGGGGUUCCAGCGGGUGGGCAGUUUGCCACGGAGAGCCUAAGGCCGACGUUUCCGUUUCCGCAGCCAGGCGCCGUGCUAGCCUCCAUGACUCCAGCAGGCUCGGCUCACCAACCAGUGCUGCCGUCAGCGUCAGGCUCAAGCCCAGCUACCCCGUCGUACCUUUUGCCACCUGGCCGGCAUCUGGACCCUGUCUGGACGCCGAACCCCGCUCUCACGUAUGCCCAGGUCCAGCAGCAGGCAUCGUAUCUGAACAUGGCCUUGGGCGGCAGCAGCAGCAGCACCUCAGCAGGUCCGGCGGCGCCAGGAAGCCAGCAGCACGCCGGCGGCGCUCAGCUACCUGUCGUCCUCAACCAUCCAGGCCUGGAACCGUCACCGCCGCCGAACAGCAACCCGUACAUGCCGGCCAGGUUCGGCGUGGAGCCUGACAGCAGCAGUGGCGGCCCCAGCAACGCAGCAGGGCCGAGCGCGGAGGUCGUGUGCCUGUCCGACGACGAAGCCUAG